UACCAUUUGGAAACAGAUGCUAAUAACCGGAUAAAAAGCUACUUUCGCAUGAAAGAAAGUUUAAAAAGGCGGCGUAAGCUGUCGCUAAAGGAUGGACCUGCGAUGCAUUAGCUAGUUGGUAAGGUAACGGCUUACCAAGGCGAUGAUGCAUAGCCGAGUUGAGAGACUGAUCGGCCACAUUGGGACUGAGACACGGCCCAAACUCCUACGGGAGGCAGCAGUAGGGAAUCUUCCACAAUGGACGCAAGUCUGAUGGAGCAACGCCGCGUGAGUGAAGAAGGUUUUCGGAUCGUAAAGCCCUGUUGUUGGUGAAGAAGGAUAGAGGUAGUAACUGGCCUUUAUUUGACGGUAAUCAACCAGAAAGUCACGGCUAACUACGUGCCAGCAGCCGCGGUAAAU
This 399-nucleotide ribosomal RNA is filed under the name uncultured Lactobacillus sp. Its description in RNAcentral is "bacterial SSU rRNA". It matches the Rfam family "Bacterial small subunit ribosomal RNA", at positions 144 to 525 of the family's 1533-position model. The record is from RNAcentral. Lineage: Bacteria; Bacillati; Bacillota; Bacilli; Lactobacillales; Lactobacillaceae.